AGAGUUUGAUCAUGGCUCAGGAUGAACGCUGGCGGCGUGCCUAAUACAUGCAAGUCGAGCGAACGGACGAGAAGCUUGCUUCUCUGAUGUUAGCGGCGGACGGGUGAGUAACACGUGGAUAACCUACCUAUAAGACUGGGAUAACUUCGGGAAACCGGAGCUAAUACCGGAUAAUAUUUUGAACCGCAUGGUUCAAAAGUGAAAGACGGUCUUGCUGUCACUUAUAGAUGGAUCCGCGCUGCAUUAGCUAGUUGGUAAGGUAACGGCUUACCAAGGCAACGAUGCAUAGCCGACCUGAGAGGGUGAUCGGCCACACUGGAACUGAGACACGGUCCAGACUCCUAUGGGAGGCAGCAGUAGGGAAUCUUCCGCAAUGGGCGAAAGCCUGACGGAGCAACGCCGCGUGAGUGAUGAAGGUCUUCGGAUCGUAAAACUCUGUUAUUAGGGAAGAACAUAUGUGUAAGUAACUGUGCACAUCUUGACGGUACCUAAUCAGAAAGCCACGGCUAACUACGUGCCAGCAGCCGCGGUAAUACGUAGGUGGCAAGCGUUAUCCGGAAUUAUUGGGCGUAAAGCGCGCGUAGGCGGUUUUUUAAGUCUGAUGUGAAAGCCCACGGCUCAACCGUGGAGGGUCAUUGGAAACUGGAAAACUUGAGUGCAGAAGAGGAAAGUGGAAUUCCAUGUGUAGCGGUGAAAUGCGCAGAGAUAUGGAGGAACACCAGUGGCGAAGGCGACUUUCUGGUCUGUAACUGACGCUGAUGUGCGAAAGCGUGGGGAUCAAACAGGAUUAGAUACCCUGGUAGUCC
Molecule: ribosomal RNA, 806 nt
Filed under: uncultured bacterium
Lineage: Bacteria
Description: bacterial SSU rRNA
Rfam family: Bacterial small subunit ribosomal RNA
Source: RNAcentral